GGCGGACGGGUGAGUAACACUUAGGAAUCUACCUAGUAGUGGGGGAUAGCUCGGGGAAACUCGAAUUAAUACCGCAUACGACCUACGGGAGAAAGGUCGCUAUUAGAUGAGCCUAAGUCGGAUUAGCUAGAUGGUGGGGUAAAGGCCUACCAUGGCGACGAUCUGUAGCUGGUCUGAGAGGAUGAUCAGCCACACCGGGACUGAGACACGGCCCGGACUCCUACGGGAGGCAGCAGUGGGGAAUAUUGGACAAUGGGGGCAACCCUGAUCCAGCCAUGCCGCGUGUGUGAAGAAGGCCUUUUGGUUGUAAAGCACUUUAAGCAGUGAAGAUGACAUUAGCUGCAGAAUAAGCACCGGCUAACUCUGUGCCAGCAGCCGCGGUAAUACAGAGGGUGCAAGCGUUAAUCGGAAUUACUGGGCGUAGAGCGAGCGUAGGUGGCUUGAUAAGUCAGAUGUGAAAUCCCCGGGCUUAACCUGGGAACUGCAUCUGAUACUGUUAAGCUAGAGUAGGUGAGAGGGAAGUAGAAUUUCAGGUGUAGCGGUGAAAUGCGUAGAGAUCUGAAGGAAUACCGAUGGCGAAGGCAGCUUCCUGGCAUCAUACUGACACUGAGGCUCGAGAGCGUGGGUAGCAAACAGGAUUAGAUACCCUGGUAGUCCACACCGUAAACGAUGUCUACUAGUCGUUGGGUACUUAGUGACGCAGCUAACGCAAUAAGUAGACCGCCUGGGGAGUACGGCCGCAAGGUUAAAACUCAAAUGAAUUGACGGGGGCCCGCACAAG
Molecule: ribosomal RNA, 781 nt
Filed under: uncultured bacterium
Lineage: Bacteria
Description: bacterial SSU rRNA
Rfam family: Bacterial small subunit ribosomal RNA
Source: RNAcentral